UACAGAGGGUGCGAGCGUUGUCCGGAAUCACUGGGCGUAAAGGGCGCGUAGGUGGCGACCCAAGUCGAUGGUGAAAGCUCGCCGCUCAACGGCGAGUCGGCCACCGAUACUGGGUUGCUCGAGCACUGUAGAGGCUAAUGGAAUUCCGGGUGUAGCGGUGGAAUGCGUAGAGAUGUGGAGGAACACCGAUGGCGAAGGCAGCCCCCUGGGCCAAUACUGACGCUCAUGCACGAAAGCGUGGGGAGCAAACAGG
This 253-nucleotide ribosomal RNA is filed under the name uncultured bacterium. Its description in RNAcentral is "partial 16S ribosomal RNA". It matches the Rfam family "Bacterial small subunit ribosomal RNA", at positions 524 to 776 of the family's 1533-position model. The record is from RNAcentral.